UAUAUGUCAGACUACCCUACCCUCUGCUACAUGCCAAACUUCUCCAUCCAUGUCAUGCAUUCAGACUACUCCACCAUCUACAUCACUUCAUGCUGCUCCUAGCACACCUACUCCACAGAUUAUCCCAUUCACAGCUACCUGUCAGACCACUCCCAACCCGUCACAGCCUACCCCUUCCAUAUCUACUGCUCAAACUGGCCCACCUACAUCCACAUCUCAGACUAACACUUCUGUAUAUACAACUCAGAUCAACUUGUCUUCCACAAGCUCUCAGACCCAUCCAGUACCUCAUAGUAAUAUCAGUUUCCAAGAAGUAGAAAGUGUUUUAACACUUUCAUUUGGUCGAAGACAGAAAAGGUACCAAGUGACAGUGGACGAGUUGAGACGAAGAGUUGGGGCCCCGGAAAAUAUGUCUGCAAAUACCCUCGUCUCCUACCUUCGUGUUGAUAAGAACAAGAAACAGGAGUUGAAACAAAGGCUUCAAAAUGCGGGUGUCAGCCCUGGACCUUUAACAAGUGUGGUGUCAAUGUGCUCAAAAUUAACUGAGGCUGAAGCUUGUGAGCUGGCAGACAGCUUGGGGAAGAUGGCAGCAGCUUACAUUCCAGAUGACAUUCAACUCAUGGAGUUAGCCAACAAGGAUGUUGCACUGGGGAGACUUGCUUUUUUCAAAGACCUUCUAAACGAAGCCAAAACCCAGCUGCAUCAGCAUGCAACAGCCUUUGACUUAGUUACUCAUGGCCUUGGCCUAAAAUUAUUCGAUGUUUUCUUUUCAGUCCUGGGAAAGGUGGCAGACUCAGAGAUCAGAAAGUAUAGUGCUGCAGAAUAAGACUUAGUCCAAACCAAGUCUGAAACAAGAUUGAAACAAAGCUGAAGUUCGUUUUGGUUUUAAGUGGCAGUUUAUUGCAAUAAUUUACAUCCAGUUAUCACCCAUGUGGUCUCCCUGUAAUUUACACUAACUGGUUUGUAAAAUAUUGUAAUUUCAGUGAGUUGCUUUUCCAGAUGUUGUGCUAAAUUCUACCUCACUGACAGAAUCAAACAGAAGUGCAGGUGCAUCACACAGCAGAAUGAGUGUAUCUGAUUCCAUUUUUUCUGUUUAUAAAUUAGGUCUAAUUUACAGUUAAAGUAGAUACAGAAUCACUAGCAUAAUAUGUUGUAUCCAUACAACUGCGCUAUGAAGGGGAGUUUGAUUUCAGCACUGCAUCUUUUUCUUAUUCCAUUGUUUAAUGGGUGAAAACAAUUGGUCUGAAAAUCAGUAACCAUCUAGAAAAGGGUUUUCACACUGCCUUUGAAAAAGACCAUGGUUCAGCACAUUCAGACCUUGAACACAUUUUUUUUUUGGUUGGACCAAAUAAUGGUCCUAUUUUCUGAACCAUGGAUCAAGGCACCUUUCACACCUGCUAUUUGGUUCAGACCAAACAAGUUAAUAAUUUAGUUAUACUCCAUCCUGUUGUUCUAAUAAAUGUUAAUUUUCUUACA
Molecule: long non-coding RNA, 1476 nt
Filed under: Astyanax mexicanus (Mexican tetra)
Lineage: Eukaryota; Metazoa; Chordata; Actinopteri; Characiformes; Acestrorhamphidae
Description: lncRNA (ENSAMXG00005008373.1)
Source: RNAcentral